Molecule: ribosomal RNA, 253 nt
Filed under: bacterium
Lineage: Bacteria
Also listed under: 1 other name
Description: partial 16S ribosomal RNA
Rfam family: Bacterial small subunit ribosomal RNA
Source: RNAcentral
UACGAAGGGGGCUAGCGUUGUUCGGAUUUACUGGGCGUAAAGCGCACGUAGGCGGAUUGUUAAGUGAGAGGUGAAAUCCUGGAGCUCAACUCCAGAACUGCCUUUCAUACUGGCAAUCUAGAGUCCGGAAGAGGUAAGUGGAACUCCUAGUGUAGAGGUGGAAUUCGUAGAUAUUAGGAAGAACACCAGUGGCGAAGGCGGCUUACUGGUCCGGUACUGACGCUGAGGUGCGAAAGCGUGGGGAGCAAACAGG